This 250-nucleotide ribosomal RNA is filed under the name uncultured bacterium. RNAcentral describes it as "partial 16S ribosomal RNA". It matches the Rfam family "Bacterial small subunit ribosomal RNA", at positions 524 to 772 of the family's 1533-position model. The record is from RNAcentral.
UACGUAGGGUCCAAGCGUUAUCCGGAAUUACUGGGCGUAAAGCGUACGCAGAUGGCGUGAUAGGUGGGUUGUGAAAUCCUGUGGCUCAACCAUAUGGACUAUGACCCAAACCAUCACACUAGAGGUUGGUAGAGGCAAGCGGAAUUUCCGGUGUAGCAGUGACAUGCGUAGAUAUCGGAAGGAACACCAAUGGCGAAGGCAGCUUGCUGGGCCACACCUGACGUUAAGGUACGAAAGCGUGGGGAGCGAA